CCCCUCUCUCCCACCCAGUUCCCCAUUACAGCCUUGCGGGAGAUCAAGAUCCUUCAGCUUCUAAAACACGAGAAUGUGGUCAACUUGAUUGAGAUUUGUCGAACCAAAGCUUCCCCCUAUAACCGCUGCAAGGGUAGUAUAUACCUGGUGUUUGACUUCUGCGAGCAUGACCUUGCUGGGCUGUUGAGCAAUGUUUUGGUCAAGUUCACGCUGUCUGAGAUCAAGAGGGUGAUGCAGAUGCUGCUUAACGGCCUCUACUACAUCCACAGGAACAAGAUCCUGCAUAGGGACAUGAAGGCUGCUAAUGUGCUUAUCACUCGUGAUGGGGUCCUGAAGCUGGCAGACUUUGGGCUGGCCCGGGCCUUCAGCCUGGCCAAGAACAGCCAGCCCAACCGCUACACCAACCGUGUGGUGACACUCUGGUACCGGCCCCCGGAGCUGUUGCUCGGGGAGCGGGACUACGGCCCCCCCAUUGACCUGUGGGGUGCUGGGUGCAUCAUGGCAGAGAUG
Molecule: small RNA, 510 nt
Filed under: Pongo abelii (Sumatran orangutan)
Lineage: Eukaryota; Metazoa; Chordata; Mammalia; Primates; Hominidae
Description: processed transcript
Source: RNAcentral